AGCGACAAGAUUCACAGGGCAGUGCUCUGAAGAAGCAAGACCUCAGCAGAUGAGGAGACAGAAGAUAAGCAUGCUGCAAGACGGGAUGUUAUGACUGCUGCGGAAGAGUCAAGCACAAGGUACAAUCUUAGGGCAGGAACCAUGGAAACAAGUGCGUUAACAGAUGUGUUUUUUUUGUGUGUGUAAGAUGUGUAAGUUUUUGUUGUUGAAUCAAUUGAUUCUUUAUAAUAAAACCUAAAUGAAUAUCUGAUUAAUCUGCUAAUAUCUAUUCUUGUUUCUGG
This 281-nucleotide long non-coding RNA is filed under the name Rhinopithecus bieti (black snub-nosed monkey). Its description in RNAcentral is "lncRNA (ENSRBIG00000046547.1)". The record is from RNAcentral. Lineage: Eukaryota; Metazoa; Chordata; Mammalia; Primates; Cercopithecidae.